Molecule: non-coding RNA, 137 nt
Filed under: Gloeochaete wittrockiana
Lineage: Eukaryota; Glaucocystophyceae; Gloeochaetales; Gloeochaetaceae
Source: RNAcentral
AAAUACAAACAGACACAAGGACCUGAACGACAAGACAUCAACAAGAACAACAAGGGAAACCAGAAGAAACCAAAGAGAAAGAGGAUCGAACCAACUCUCUCUCUCUCUCUCUUUUUGUUUUCUUUUUUUCUUUUCUU